RNAcentral lists this ribosomal RNA (253 nucleotides) under uncultured bacterium. RNAcentral's name for it is "partial 16S ribosomal RNA". It matches the Rfam family "Bacterial small subunit ribosomal RNA", at positions 524 to 776 of the family's 1533-position model. The record is from RNAcentral.
UACGGAGGGUGCAAGCGUUAUCCGGAUUCACUGGGUUUAAAGGGUGCGUAGGUGGAUUUAUAAGUCAGUGGUGAAAGCCCCGAGCUCAACUUGGGAAUUGCCAUUGAUACUGUAGAUCUUGAGUUCGGUUGAGGUAGGCGGAAUGUUACAUGUAGCGGUGAAAUGCUUAGAUAUGUAACAGAACACCGAUUGCGAAGGCAGCUUCCAAAGCCGUUACUGACACUGAUGCACGAAAGCGUGGGGAUCAAACAGG